UCAGGUGUGAAACGCUCACGCGCACAGCCACACAUACAGAGACGGCGCACGUUUCCCUCGCAGAUCUCGCGAUUCGUAGAGCCAUAGGCGUCGUUGGACCAAAAAAACUCUGUUCACUGUGUUAAGGGUGGGAGGUGAGACCAUGUAAGAAUAUCAAAUGCAUUGACGUCUUACGCAGCAAGGAAGGUAUCAAGAAAAGAAUUGAAUAAAGCGUAAUACUACGGAGAAUCAUAUCAGAAUUCCGAAGGGGCCUCGAAUGCGCGACACGUGCGACUUCGAAUUAGAAAAAGUAAACACGCGUUCGGCCAGGUGGCGCGGAAUGUCGUUGCUACAUCGAUGAGCAGUUUUACGCGCACAGGAACACGUGAUAUGAUGACUCACCGAUCAUCUAUUCCUAUUCCUUCAUUCAGUAGAGUGAUUGACUCAGUACAGAGAAGAUGGAAAGUAUUUCGCUGUGUCGAGUUAAGCAAUCUUUACCGUGCCAAUCGUCCCGUGGACUUUUCUUCUUCUCUUCAUUUAUCAAGGGGGUGGCUACACGGAACUCGAUAAGAAGCUUAGCGGAGAUUCGACUCGAAAAUGGCCGAGCGUAUCGACGGUGCAUCUACGAGAAAAACUUCUACGAGUCUCGUCCUUUGUAUUGACCUGCAAUCCACUUUCAAUAGACGCCAUUGGGAUAAUCGCUGAUGAAAUUCCUCGAUUCGUUUAUAGGGAAAUACACGAGGAGAACAACGUUUUUAUUUUAUCUUAUUUAAACCUUUUCGAGAAUAUUCAAAGACGAUUUAAUUGCUGAAAAUAUGGACAGGGAGCGGCAGAAUAAUUAAUAAAAUAAUCCCAACUCUCAUAACUCUUAUAGAAUUCUCGAAAUCCUUUAUCCUGAUUAAAACAAUUCGAAAUCCCCUAAUCUUCUAAUCUCCUCUCUAAACCUUGGCGAUCAAACCUGCGCCAAAUUCCUGCGUCUGAUCCGUCUCCUGUUUGGAAAAGAGCCACGAAACUAAGCAAACGAAAAACCAAGAAAGAAAGAAAGAAAGAAAGAAAGAAAGAGAAAAAAGGGAAGAUAAAAGAGAGAAAAGGAAGGGAAAAAGCAGAGUUUCUAUCGCGCGAAUAGGAAAAACCCGGACACCACCACCACCACCAUCUGGUAGAACCGCUCGUGGAGGGGCAGGGGGCGGAUGGGGAUGGAGGCGGCGAAAGAAAGCAACAAAGAACAAAAGAGAGUGGAGAGCGUGAACGAGGAGUUUAACCAUCGUCCCGUAAUAUUCCGUCGCUGUGGCAUGCAGACGAGAAAGGAACGGCUGAUGGCGGUGACAAAAAAAUGGAAACUAUUUGAUCGUGAACCACCCUCUCUCGCGCUGAUACUCGGGGCUGAACACGAGGCUGGGCCUCGGAUACCGAUACACACACGCACCCACACACGUACACGCGCGCGAGGCACGCGGAGAAGAAGGAUGGAGGCGAAAAAGCGGAGUGCUCUUUCCACGAGGGGCGGGGGGAGGGGGGGAGAGAGGGACACGUAAAGGGGGUUGCACGCCGAUGGGGUUGAAACGAGGCGGAGGUGGAGGUGGAUUGAAAGGUGCGAGGGGAGGGGGGAUGGGCCGGGCUACUCUCUCUGUCCACAAGCGAGCGACUGUGCACACGCCUAAAAGGGUUUUCGUUAGAUUUCAUUUCACACCCAAUUACCUGGCACACAUUGGGGCACACACGGUUGGGGAAGAGGGUGGGGAGGGGGUGAAAAGACACGGAGGCGCGACAAACGGUGUUGCGCGGCGUUGCGGUGUAAAAAUACACCGAAAUGUUGGGGGAGGCAUCCUCGGAUAUAUCGUAUCACCCCUCGUAUUGUCCGUCUUCCGUGGAUUUUAUUUUACGCCCAAUUAUUGCGGCGUGUGUGUAUAUAUAUACAUAUAUGUGUGUGUGCGUGGUUAGAGGUAAGUGAAAAGAGAGGAGGAUAGCGAGAGAUAAAAAUACACGAAACGUGGGAGGGAUAUUCUGUUCUUUUUUUUUUUUUUAAGAUCUCGUUUCAUAGCCAAUUAUUAAUUGAUAUAUAUACAUAUGUAUAUGGAGACACGAAGAUAUAAAGAUACAUUGGAUCGCCGCUUGAUAUUUCGUGGAUUUUAUUCUUCAAUAAUUAGGGCGUACAUCGGGAUAUGUGGUUAGGAAAAAAUAGAAAGGAAGGUAUAAAAGAAGGGUUAUAGUUAGACGAAGGAACGACGUAAAAAAACUUGCACGCCUUGGAGGCGCAAGGCAAUAUUGAAAAGUUUAAAAAUAGAGGCAUUGAAAGGCAUCGGGCUAAAUCACGAAACACAUUCCCCGAUGAUACCCUUAUUUUCUAUAGACUCCACAUUCCACGUACCCAAUUAUUAUUCGACGUGCAUUGUCAGAUUAGGGAUAAUGGGAAAAAAGAAGAUGCAAGGCAAUACAUCGCAGCGAUAAAAAUAGGCAGAAUUAUUGUUCCAUUCUUAUUCCAUCGCAAUUGUUACCCGAUACAUAUUGAGAUUUAAAAAAAAGAGAUGCGAGAUGACGACGGCGAAUAUGUAAAAAUAUACGAAAUAAAAGUGUUAUAUCGCGAAAUAUAUAUAUAUAUAUGUGUCACUCGUACUCGAUAUUCCGUUUAACUCUCGGCCACGAAUUUUGUGAUCGGUGAGGCACGCGAGCGCGGAAACGACGAGAGUUGGGGAGGGAGGGGGUUGUCCGCUGUUACGAUCAUCCCCCUCGGUGUGUUGCGAUACCAUGGCGAGCCGCGAACCGUAUUUUCAAAUCGUUCGAUGCGUUUUAGAUUGACGCGUUAGAUGCGUUUGCUUUAUUGUAUUGCACUGUAUCGCGGUGUAUUGUGGAUUUCGGUAGGGGAGGGAGGGGGGAGGGGGCGUGUAUAUUUCGCGAUCGGUACUCGUGUAGCCGAUUGAUUGGCUAGGGUUGUUGAUUUGGACGAUUGUAAUGCUGCUGGUUUCGAGAGAUUUCGUUGGGAAUCGCUCUCGGUGGAUGGAGCGAUUUGUUAAAUAUCGUUUAUCUUUAAAGUUAAAGUAGGAAAUCAUUUUUUGGGGGGCGGAUGUACGAUGUGAUUUAUAACGGAUGUUAAAUAUCAAUUUUUGUUGUACUCGCUAUUAAAAAAUCCGCAUUCUGAACAAUUGAAUCGAAAAGACGAUAAGAUAAUUUUUAAAUUUUUAAAUUCGAUCAAAGUUUUUAAACUCCUUUUUUAUCGAUGAAAUAACUUUAAAAUGAAUUACUUGUGUAUAAAUAAAUAUAUAGUUAUUUUUUUUUUUUUUUUUAAUAUAAUAUAUCUUGAAAAGGAAAUUUUUCAUUAAGCACGAUUGUCACGUUGUUAAAAAUCAAUUAAACGCGAGUCACGGUGAAAUAUACUCGUAUCACGAAUGAAUUUUAAACCAAAAAUUUGUUUUUACAGUUGUGCGUGUACCUAUUUUCUGUUUGAAUAUAAACCUAUUUGGUAAGCAUAGCGCGCUACCGUCCUGUGUAACGUUUACUUAAAAUUAAAAUUAAAAUUCUCACGGAUGAGAUGGAACAGUAAACAUACACUUUUGCAGUGGCUUUAAUGCCGGUAUUGUUUAACUUUGUUAGAAAAAAAAGAGAGGCAGGGGAAGGAGAAGAGAGGAAAACAGAAGAGAGAGAGAGAGAGAGAGAGAAAUUUCAAGUCUGUGAUUAUACUACGAAAUCAGUUGCUUGGAAAGAGGCAAAACGAGAUACUUGGCGUCGUGGAUAUUUGGAAAACCUUGCUCUUCAAAUUUCAUUUUAUUCAACUUUGAAGAAAGGGGAGAAAGCGCGUGGGAAGCGAAAAGGGACAAAGCGAUGGUAAUUUUUAUCACGCCCGUUUUUUUUAUUCCGAAAAUGUUAGAACCUGAAAAUAAAUUUCGAGGCAAUUACAAAAUAACGCUCGUCGUUUACGCUGUUUUCGUAUGACAAUGUUACGGAUGUCCCUCUUUUGUUUCGUUUCAUACUGUGUUUAACUGUUUUUAUGUUUUUCUUUCUUUAUUGCACGCAUAUUUUUAUAAAAGGAUUACAGUUAUGAUGUUUACAUUUUAUUUUCGCGUGGCAACGAUGAAACGAAGCUGCCCACACAAAUCAGUUUCGUAAUAUAUUAUUCCACGUAUGACCACUACAUUCGCAACGAUUAAUUCAAAUUGGAAGCCCAAUUAUGCAACCUUCGUAUAUAUAUUUAUUCGUUUAUAUUUCACCAUUUUCAUAGAGAAUAGGAUAACUCUUUUUCCUUAAAUAAAUCAUCACUCGUCCCAAAGAAACUUUCCCUUCCUCCCUCGCUAAAAAAAAAAAAAUAUCAAGAUCCGCGAAAUGGUAAAAGACGCACGAUUCCAGCUCUUAAGAAAAAAGAAAA
This is a long non-coding RNA of Apis cerana (Asiatic honeybee), 4336 nucleotides long. RefSeq lists it as uncharacterized. Lineage: Eukaryota; Metazoa; Arthropoda; Insecta; Hymenoptera; Apidae. The record is from RefSeq and is a predicted model, not a curated record.